AGCUUUCCUAAUCUGUGUAGAGAUUUUGUCGGACACCAAUUUAUUAAAGCCGAUCAAACUUCCAACAUAAGUGAAGUU
This 78-nucleotide microRNA precursor is filed under the name Schistosoma mansoni. Its description in RNAcentral is "mir-3492 microRNA precursor family". It matches the Rfam family "mir-3492 microRNA precursor family". The record is from Rfam by way of RNAcentral. Lineage: Eukaryota; Metazoa; Platyhelminthes; Trematoda; Strigeidida; Schistosomatidae.